AGCCUGCUAGUGUUCCACUGGACUGUCUAGAAGAGUCCGUGGUCGUCAUCCAUACUCCGCUAGAUGACAGAAUCAACAACAUCAACAUCGAGGCCUCUCAUCAUUUUAUCACACAUCACCUAUUACAUCUACCCAUGUUUUACCCCAACAUUUUCGUAGAUAUAAAAUACAUAUACAGUUUAAAUCAUUGAAAACAUGUAUAAAAAUGUUCAUCCAGCAUAGAUAGCAAGUAUUCAGAUAAUAUGCACACAUAGCACGUAAUUUAUAUAAAAUACUUCAUAUCUAUGUGUAAGCUGAAAGUAACUAUGCACUCACCUGAAAGGUGGUGACUCAGCACUCGGACAACGCUUCGAUACUCUCAAAACGAUUUUCCUUCGAUAAAACCUAGUAUCGAUACCACUAGGGUUUAGUCUAACAAUAACCGUGACAAAUUAAUUGUUUAACUAUUAUUAUUAUUAUUAUAUAAGCGUUAAUAACACUCAAUAUAACUCAUAAUAAUAGCCCAAAUAAUUAUUUUAAAGACCAAAUAACAUUCCUAUAAUUAUUUGAAAGCUAUAUUAAAAAUUGCGUAAGCAUAGCACACUUACAGCGAAUUUUAUCGAAACCGGAACUUAAUUAAAACAUUUUUUCGAAACCGAAAGACUCCUUUUUCUCGGGACUCCGGGAGCCUCGGGGCUUCCUUAGGGUGCUAGGGGAUUUAUCUAGGGCUUAGGGGUGUUUAGAGCACUUAGAGAGAGAAAGUUUCUAGAGAGAGAGUUAGUUUUGGUGUAAAAAUGAAGGCUGCCUUCGGACCCUUUUAUAGCCUGCGAGGCCUCGGUACGCUGGGCGUACCUCGGACCUACGCUGGGCGUAGUGGCUCGGAUAAGGCUGCCAGAUGGACUCCAGCUGUCUCGCAUUCGGAAGGGAUAAGACAGGAGGGUACGCGGGGCGUACAGACUUCGGAUGCGGGGCGUAAUGCGAGGUGAUGUGUCACCAUCCGAAGCGAGGACCGUGGGCCGCAAGCGACGGCUGUGAUCUUGCCACGUCAUCAAUCCAUGCAUCAGCUUCGCAAAUUCACCUUCCAACUUCUAAAAAUCAUAACCUUCACAUACGAGCUCCGUUUUCGAUGUUCUUUAUAUCCACGUGAAGGUGGGAACGUACUCUACAACUUUCGUUUAGACUCCAUCGGCUAAUUUUGACUCGAUUUUAAAUUUUAUAUUAUUAACGGGCCUGGACAGGAUUGGUCCGUUAAAUCCUCAUAACUUCUUCAUCCGACAUCCGUUUUCGCCUAUCUUUUUCUCGUUACGCUACUUUUAACGAGAUCUUCGAUUCUCGUUUAGGUCGUGUCGGCUAAAAAUCACUGGAUCUAAUAUUCGAAUUUCGGGCUGUACACUACUAAUCCGAAACUUCGAAAAAUCAUAACUUCUUCAUACGAAGUCAGAUUUGGGCGUUCUUUUUAUCGAUGUUCUUAGUUUAACAUAUUCUACAACUUCCGUUUAGAUCGCUAAGACUAAAUCUCGCUCUAUUGUAAAUUCACUAUUUACGCUUCCUGGUAUCGUGCCGGUUCUGUCGCGAAACUUCGACGAGUCAUAACUUCUUCGUUAUAACUCGGAUUUCGGCGUUCCUUAUAUGUACGGAAACCUUGAGACAUAUUCUACAACUUUAUGUAGAGAUAUCGGGCUUAUCUCACACUUUAAUUUUGACGCUCAUUUUUAUUCUAUAUUAAUUAUACAUUUAUAAUUAAAUAGUAAACACAUAAACACAUAUAAUUCACAUAAUACUCAAAUAUUUCAUCUUUAUUACUUCAAAAAGAGUUACAAGAGUUGACCUGGACUAUUACAUUGACAAAAAUGCUUAGCCUUGAAACCCGGGCGUUACAAUUCUCUCCCCCUUAGGAUGAUUCCGUCCCGGAAUCAUGCAUUAGCAAACAGAUGUGGAUAGCGAAUCAUCAUGUCAUCCUCUGUUUCCCAAGUGAGAUUUGGCCCAUUCGAAUGUUUCCAUCGGACUAGCACUAAGUCGACCAUCUUGCGUCGUAAUUUCUUAGUCUUACGGUCAACAAUUGCCUCGGGCUCUUCGAUCAACCUUUUGUUCUCAUCCAUCCUUAACUCUGAGAUUGGAAUUAUGUCGGGAACAUCUCCCGUGAAUUUCCUCAGAUAACACACAUGGAAGGUGUUAUGAAUACCAUUGAGUUCUUCGGGCAAUUCUAGCUUGUAAGCUUGGUUCCCAAUCUUCUGAAGAACUUUGAACGGUCCAAUAAACCUUGGACUCAACUUUCCUCGUUUCCCAAAUCGUAUAAGUCCCUUCCACGGUGAGACUUUAAGCAAAACGGAAUCCCCAACUUCGAAAGUUAUCGGUCGUCUUUUCUUGUCAGCAUAGCUCUUCUGACGAUCCUGGGCUGCUAACAUCCUUUCCCUAAUCACCUUCAACUUCUCAGCAGUCUCAUGGACUAUCUCGGGGCCCAUAAACUGCUUCUCUCCGGCUUCAAGCCAACAAGACGGCGUACGACACUUUUGCCCAUACAAGGCUUGGUAAGGAGCCAUCUUGAUGCUCGAGUGAAAACUAUUGUUGUAGGAAAAUUCUACCAGAGGUAAGUGCUCGUCCCAAUUCCCUUGGAAUUCGAGGGUACAUGCUCUCAGCAUAUCUUCCAAUGUCUGAAUCGUUCUUUCGCUCUGACCAUCAGUUUGCGGAUGGUAAGCCGUACUCAAACACAACUUUGUACCUAACUCCUCUUGUAGACUCCUCCAAAACCUUGACGUGAAACGACUAUCACGAUCUGAUACAAUCGUAAGAGGGACACCGUGAAGUCUUACAAUUUCCUUCACGUAAGCAUUUGCGAGCUUAUCCAUAGACCACUUCUCGUUGGCUGCUAUGAAGUGUGCACUCUUGGUGAAACGAUCCACGACUACCCAAAUCAUGUCGUGACCGUUCUUCGUCCUGGGCAGUUUAGUCACAAAAUCCAUGGUGAUGUCUUCCCAUUUACCCAUGGGUACAGGUAAAGGUUCUAAACUCCCAUACGGUUUCUGAUGUUGUGCCUUAACCCUCGCACAUGUUACGCACUCGGCCACAUACUUCGCAACAUCGAGCUUCAUCGUCGGCCACCAGUAGUAGGGUUUUAGGUCCCUAUACAUUUUAGUGCUACCGGGAUGAAUCGAGUACAUGGUCUUGUGUGCUUCUUCCAUCAGAAGAUCUCUUAUUCCUCCCGUCUUAGGUACCCAAAUUCGAUCUUGGAAUACCUUCAGUCCUCGACUGUUUGUACCGAACACUAACGUUCUUCCCAAACGUUCUUCCUUUCGGUCAUUUUUCUCUAAAGCUUCUUCUUGAGCUUUCCUGAUACUUUCCACAAUCGUCGAGACGACUUCAAUUCUUAACGCUCUUGGCCUUUUCCUUUCCAGAUUGACUUUCCGACUGAGAGCAUCAGCAACAAUAUUUGCUUUACCUGGGUGGUAAAGUAUCUCACAGUCGUAGUCCUUGAGAAGUUCUAGCCAGCGUCGUUGCCUCAUGUUCAACUCCUUCUGAUUAAAGAGAUACUGGAGACUCUUAUGAUCAGUGAAGAGCUUGCACUUCGUGCCGUAGAGGUAAUGCCUCCAUAUCUUUAAGGCAAAAACUACCGCUGCCAACUCCAGAUCAUGAGUGGGGUAGUUCUUUUCGUGCUCUUUCAAUUGUCGAGAUGCGUAUGCUAUCACCUUUUCUCUUUGGGUCAGAACACAACCCAACCCGACUCCAGAAGCGUCACUAUAAACCGCGAAAUCUUCGACUCCAUCGGGUAGAGAAAGUAUCGGUGCUUCACAUAACUUCUUCUUUAGCUUCUCGAAUGCCUCAUCGUGUUUCUCACUCCACGUAUACGUAGCUCCUUUAUGAGUCAAAGCUGUUAAUGGAGCAGCUAUCGAAGAAAAGCCUUGGAUAAAUCGUCGAUAAUAUCCGGCUAAUCCUAGAAAGCUUCGAAUCUCCGUGGGACUCUUUGGACGUUCCCACUUCAUUACAGCCUCGAUCUUUGCGGGGUCAACCAUUAUUCCCUCCUGGUUAACAACAUGACCCAAGAAUUGGACUUCCCGUAUCCAAAAGUCGCAUUUGGAGAACUUUGCAAAAAGCUUCUCCUUCUUCAACACUUCUAAUACUUCCCGUAGAUGCUUGCCAUGCUCCUCUUGGCUUUUCGAGUAGAUGAGAAUGUCGUCGAUGAACACUAUCACGGAUUUAUCGAGGAAUGGUUUACAAACCCUAUUCAUCAAAUCCAUGAAUGCUGCGGGAGCAUUGGUUAGCCCGAAUGACAUAACCAAGAACUCGUAGUGUCCAUAUCUCGUUCUGAAUGCAGUCUUCUCAAUAUCCUGCUUUCUCACCUUUAGCUGAUGAUAUCCUGACCUAAGAUCGAUCUUUGAGAAGUAGCUCGAACCUUGCAGCUGAUCGAAUAGGUCAUCAAUCCUCGGCAAUGGAUACUUGUUCUUCACCGUUGCCUUAUUCAGCUCUCGGUAGUCUAUACACAUUCUCAUACUUCCGUCCUUCUUCUUCACGAAUAACACCGGAGCUCCCCAGGGUGAUGAACUAGGUCGAAUAAAACCGUUGUCCAACAGCUCCUGAAGUUGCGUCAUGAGCUCCUUCAUCUCCGUCGGUGCUAAUCGGUAAGGUGCCUUUGCUAUCGGUGUUGUUCCUGGUAACAAGUCUAUACGAAACUCCACUUGCCUAUCAGGUGGUAAUCCGGGAAGAUCUUCGGGAAAGACUUCCGGAUAAUCACACACAACCGGUAUAUUCUGCACCUCUUUCUUCUCCUUCUUGGCAUCGAUUACGAAUGCCAAGUAUGAUGCACAUCCUUUGGACAAACAUUUCCUGGCUUUCAUCAGGGAGAUGAUUCCAGAAUUCACUCUGCGUUUGUCCCCAUACACCAUAAAUGAUUCUUUUCCGGGUGGGUUUACCUUUACUAUCUUCUUUCGGCAUUGAAUCUCAGCAUCGUUGGCGCUAAGCCAAUCCAUACCCAAAACGAUGUCGAAACCGUUUAACUCUAUGGGUAAUAGCUCUUCGUGGAAUUCGUUUCCGUUUAGGUCAAUGACGAUGUUCCUAAUACGAUUACUAACAGGUACGAAUUUGCCACUGGCAACUUCUACAAUCAGGGCAUUAUCUAGUUUUUCUACAGGCAAUGCUAAUUUCCCACCAAAUUUAUGCGACACAAAGGAGUAGUUGGCUCCGGAAUCAAAUAGUAUAUUUGCAGGCAAACCAUUUACAAGAAAGGUACCUGAAGCGACGUCUGCUGCCUCCUUUGCAGCCUCGAGCGUCAUCUGGAAGGCUCUCGCCUUCGGCUUCGGUGGUAUGUUGGGUCUUCCUGUCUCCUUCUUCUUCGGGCAGUCCUUCAAAAUGUGCCCUUCUUCAUUGCACCCAUAACAGGCUUUCUGGUUGAGGGUGCAUUCAUUGGCGUAGUGCCCAGGCUUUCCGCACUUGUAACAAGUGACCCCUCCGUCACACUUCCCAGAGUGCUUCUUCUUGCACUUGUCACACCACUUCGCUUCUGAUCCUCCUCCCCUCGAACCAGACUUCGAGAAUCUACUCUUCUUGUUGGACUUCGAGGAUCCAUUGAACUUCCGUUUCUCACCAACCUCAGCCCUCUCCAGACCUCUUUCCUUUUGUUGGGUCUCCACGUUCUUAGCUGCUCGAACAGCUGAUUUCAGAGUGGUUGCCAUCUUGACUGUUGGGCCAAAGUCAGCCGGCAGUCCGUUUGCGAAUUUCUCAAUUUUGGAAAGUUCGGUUGGCACUAGGUAUGGAAACAACUUCAUCUUUUCCGUAAAUGCAGCAGCAUAGUCAUCGAUGCUCAUUCUCCCCUUCUUCAAAUUUUGGAACUCAUUGUUCAGAUCAAUCAGGUCUAUCUCUGAACAGUACUGCGCCUUCAGUUGUUCCAAGAACUCAUCCCAUGACAUUUUCAGAGCUUCUCCCCGUGGCAUUGUAUCUGCCAAUAGCUUCCACCAGCUCAAGACUCCAGUUUUCAAUUGUCUCACAGCGAAGACAGUCUUCUGCUUCUCGCUGCAGUCGCAGCUCUCAAACACCAUCUCCAUCUCGGAGAUCCAGUCCAUAAUCUCAACAGGCUUUGGGCUUCCUGAGAGACUUGGUGGUUUCGCACCCAAGAAAUUUUUGUACAUCCGCCCAUCCUUGUUGUUUCUCCCUUCUGGGCCAUCCUUUUGCUCACCUUGAGUCCCUACUUGACUCACUUGGCGGCUAUAGUUCCCUUCCUCAGAUGGCUCGGGAACUGGCUCCGUCGGUUCAACAUGUAUGGUAGGUUCGUCCCUAUUUUCGUGGAGCAUCCGUCUCAUUUCUUCCCUUUGUUCAGCUAGCAUAGCCUGAAUCAUGGCUUGAACUCCAGCCAUGGUGACUGGCUCAGGUGCAACUUCUUCAACAACAGGUAUUUGCUGAACCACUGGGGGUUGGUUCCUACCUCCAUUUGCGUUCACGUUUCCGCUACGGGUCCUUGCCAUCUUGAUCUAUACACCGAAUAAGGUGAAUUUAGAUCUUUAUUUAGGAUAGACGUUUUAAAUCGUCCUUAUCACUCCGAAACGUUUACAUGCUAGUUCUAAUAUCGUAGUCGUACGUUUAGAAUCCUAAACACAUAAGGUUUCCAGAUCCGGUCGGCAACAGACCAUAGAUCCGAACAAUUAACAGCAUAUUAUGCACAAAGCAUUUAGCACAUAAAAGCAUUUUAGGCACAAUUCCUAAAAUAAGCUAGUGCUCACACCUCACAAUCAUCGCUUAGCAUUCUAAGUUUAAGUCUAGAAAUCCUACAAAUUCCUAGUUCGCUUAAACUAAUGCUCUGAUACCAACUGUGACAUCCCCAAAAUCACGGCCAGAAAAGACCGGUUUGUUUAUGCUUUGUUUAAAAAUCAGAGUUACAUUUUAAAUGAAAGUGUUGCGGAAUUUGUCCCAAAACAAAAAUAUGAUAAAGAUUUAUCAAAAGCAUUUCCAUAGAAAUGUAUUUCAUUAAAAGACUCGGGAUGUCAUGUUCGUACAGAUCAAAAGCAUAAACAGUACAAUAUAAGCCUUACUACAUUAUUUCAUAUCUACAGGCCUAUAUCCGUAAUCCCUCGUCCAAAACAUCACACCUAUGCUCAUGCGCCACUACCUGUAAUACAUAAAACUGAGUGGGUCAGGCUUGGGAGCCUGGUGAGCACAUAGGGUUUUCAACCCACAAUAAAUAAGUUUAUUAAUUUCAUCAAUCAACAAUAACCCGAUUACCCGUUCCCGUUAUCCUCACUUUACGUCCCUAAACACCUAUCAUAAGGGACCUAGCCUAAGGAUCAUCAUCGGGACGGACACUACUGCUAAGGGGAUUCCUCAGCAAUAAAUGUCCUAAAGGCAACCAUGUGGGGGAUGGAGUACACCGGUGAACACAUCGUUCACAAACACCUACAGGUUGCGAGCCUGCUAGUGUUCCACUGGACUGUCUAGAAGAGUCUGUGGUCGUCAUCCAUACUCCGCUAGAUGACAGAAUCAACAACAUCAACAUCGAGGCCUCUCAUCAUUUUAUCACACAUCACCUAUUACAUCUACCCAUGUUUUACCCUAACAUUUUCGUAAAUAUAAAAUACAUAUACAGUUUAAAUCAUUGAAAACAUGUAUAAUAAUGUUCAUUCAACAUAGAUAGCAAGUAUUCAGAUAAUAUGCACACAUAGCACAUAGU
Molecule: long non-coding RNA, 7627 nt
Filed under: Lactuca sativa (garden lettuce)
Lineage: Eukaryota; Viridiplantae; Streptophyta; Magnoliopsida; Asterales; Asteraceae
Description: long non-coding RNA (LSAT_LNC008279)
Source: RNAcentral